RNAcentral lists this ribosomal RNA (630 nucleotides) under uncultured fungus. RNAcentral's name for it is "eukaryotic LSU rRNA". It matches the Rfam family "Eukaryotic large subunit ribosomal RNA", at positions 24 to 664 of the family's 3401-position model. Lineage: Eukaryota; Fungi. The record is from RNAcentral.
CCCGCUGAAGUUAAGCAUAUCAAUAAGCGGAGGAAAAGAAACUAACAAGGAUUCCCCUAGUAACUGCGAGUGAAGCGGGAAAAGCUCAAAUUUAAAAUCUGGUGGCCUUUGGCCAUCCGAGUUGUAAUUUAGAGAAGCGUCUUCCGCGCUGGACCGUGCACAAGUCUCCUGGAAUGGAGCGUCGUAGAGGGUGAGAAUCCCGUCUUUGGCACGGAUGCCCAGUGCUUCUGUGAUGCGCUCUCGAAGAGUCGAGUUGUUUGGGAAUGCAGCUCAAAAUGGGUGGUGAACUCCAUCUAAAGCUAAAUAUUGGCGAGAGACCGAUAGCGAACAAGUACCGUGAGGGAAAGAUGAAAAGCACUUUGGAAAGAGAGUAAAACAGUACGUGAAAUUGUUGAAAGGGAAACGCUUGAAGUCAGUCGCGUCUGCCGGAACUCAGCCUUGCUUCUGCUUGGUGCACUUUCCGGCUUGACGGGCCAGCAUCGGUUUCGAGUGGCGGACACUGGCGAGGGGAAGGUGGCAGCUCCGGCUGUGUUAUAGCCCCUCGUCGCAAACGCCGCCCGGGACCGAGGAAUCCGGCGCAAGCCUGGGAUGCUGGCGUAAUGGCUUUAAACGACCCGUCUUGAAACACGG